GGGGUUCCUAAUUAAAAAAAUUGCCCCAGCCAAAAGGCCAUGGAAAAAAACUUGUGCCUAGCUGCCAAUUACAAUAGCGGGGCCCCUAAGUCUUGGCAAAGUUGCGUACUGAUCGGCGAACUUCAAACCUCUUCCGGAUUAGGAAUUGGAGGGUAAGUCUGGUGAGUUUAGCGGCAGGGGGGGUAGUUCCAGGUCCAAUAGCGGGGUUUGUAUAAUAUUGUUGUUUUUUGUCGGAACAAGGUCGGAGGGUGAAUUUCGAAACGGGUGGCUGCAUUGCUUGUGUCGCUAUGGGGUCUGUGCAUGAGGCCUUCUCCCGACCGGAGUUUCUUUGUCGGAAUGUUUACUUUGAGGAAUAUUACAGUGCUCAAAGAAGGCUUUCGCCUUGAAUAGUUUAGCAUGGAAUAAUAGAGUACGACUUUGGUUCUAUUUGGUUGGUUUUAGGU
Molecule: ribosomal RNA, 443 nt
Filed under: Theileria annulata
Lineage: Eukaryota; Apicomplexa; Aconoidasida; Piroplasmida; Theileriidae
Description: partial small subunit ribosomal RNA
Rfam family: Eukaryotic small subunit ribosomal RNA
Source: RNAcentral